AUAUUGCGCAAUGGGCGAAAGCCUGACGCAGCGACGCCGCGUGGGUGAGGAAGUCCUUCGGGAUGUAAAGCCCUUUUUUCGGGGACGAUCCAAGACGGUACCCGAAGAAUAAGCCCCGGCUAACUACGUUCCAGCAGCCGCGGUAAUACGUAGGGGGCAAGCGUUGUCCGGAUUUACUGGGCGUAAAGAGCGCGUAGGCGGAACGUUAAGUCUGGCCUGAAAGCCCCCGGCUCAACCGGGGAGGGUGGCUGGAAACUGGCGUUCUUGAGGGCGAUAGAGGCGUGUGGAAUUCCUGGUGUAGCGGAGAAAUGCGUAGAUAUCAGGAGGAACACCCAUGGCGAAGGCAGCACGCUGGGUCGACCCUGACGCUGAGGCGCGAAAGCGUGGGGAGCGAAC
Molecule: ribosomal RNA, 396 nt
Filed under: uncultured bacterium
Lineage: Bacteria
Description: bacterial SSU rRNA
Rfam family: Bacterial small subunit ribosomal RNA
Source: RNAcentral